UUGGAGGGCAAGUCUGGUGCCAGCAGCCGCGGUAAUUCCAGCUCCAAUAGCGUAUAUUAAAGUUGUUGCAGUUAAAAAGCUCGUAGUUGAACCUUGGGCCUGGCUGGCCGGUCCGCCUCACCGCGUGUACUGGUCCGGCCGGGCCUUUCCUUCUGGGGAACCUCAUGCCCUUCACUGGGCGUGUUGGGGAACCAGGACUUUACUUGAAAAAUUAGAGUGUUCAAAGCAGGCCUUGCUCGAAUACAUUAGCAUGGAAUAUAGAAUAGGACGUGCGGUU
RNAcentral lists this ribosomal RNA (277 nucleotides) under uncultured Ascomycota. Its description in RNAcentral is "partial 18S ribosomal RNA". It matches the Rfam family "Eukaryotic small subunit ribosomal RNA", at positions 548 to 835 of the family's 1831-position model. The record is from RNAcentral. Lineage: Eukaryota; Fungi; Ascomycota.